This is a non-coding RNA of Corynebacterium lipophiloflavum DSM 44291, 411 nucleotides long. Lineage: Bacteria; Bacillati; Actinomycetota; Actinomycetes; Mycobacteriales; Corynebacteriaceae. The record is from Rfam.
UGAGUCGGCCGGGUGAUCGCGGCUCCCCGAACCACCGUGUACACGGGUAGGCGGGGGUCGAGGAAAGUCCGGACUCCAUACGGGCACGGUGGUUGCUAACGGCAACCCGGAGUGAUCCGCGGGAAAGUGCAACAGAGAGUAGACCGCCUGCCCCUCGUGGCAGGUAAGGGUGAAAGGGUGCGGUAAGAGCGCACCGGCAUGCGUGGUGACACGCGUGGCCAGGUAAACCCCACCGGGAGCAAGGCAAGAGCCCCCGCUUUUUGGAAGCGGAGGUUGUCGGACGCGACGAGGCUGCCCGCCCAUGUCCGAAGGUAGCUGCUGGAGGCCCCCAGCGAUGGGAGGUCCAGAUGGAUGAUCGCCGCCCGGUCUUGAGGCUGGGCACAGAAUCCGGCUUACAGGCCGGCUCAUUCG